Fundulus heteroclitus (mummichog) is the source of this 215-nucleotide long non-coding RNA. RefSeq lists it as uncharacterized. The transcript is spliced from 3 exons. The record is from RefSeq and is a predicted model, not a curated record. NCBI's taxonomy places the organism in Eukaryota, Metazoa, Chordata, Actinopteri, Cyprinodontiformes, Fundulidae.
UACCCAAAUUUCGUUUGGGAGACUUGCACAGACUGGUACAAAAGCUUUUGGGCACACCAGCCUCCAAACUCGACAAAGACUACAAGUUCUUGUUCUGGAACAAUACCUUUUCGAUUAUGAAGUUUCCACUGGAUAACAAAGAGGACCCCGUGGCUCUGGAGUGCCUGGCGUGUCCUUGUGCUGCAGCUGUAGACCCUGCUGCCUGUUCCUGGUUC